RNAcentral lists this unclassified non-coding RNA (588 nucleotides) under Aspergillus sclerotiorum. Its description in RNAcentral is "sequence contains 18S rRNA gene, ITS1, 5.8S rRNA gene, ITS2, 28S rRNA gene". The stretch from base 203 to 356 matches the Rfam family "5.8S ribosomal RNA". Lineage: Eukaryota; Fungi; Ascomycota; Eurotiomycetes; Eurotiales; Aspergillaceae. The record is from RNAcentral.
GAUCAUUACUGAGUGAGGGUCCCUCGGGGCCCAACCUCCCACCCGUGUAUACCGUACCUUGUUGCUUCGGCGGGCCCGCCGCGCAAGCGGCCGCCGGGGGGGCGUCAAACCCCCCUCCCUAGGCGAGCGCCCGCCGGAGACACCAACGUGAACACUGUCUGAAGUUUUGUUGUCUGAGUUCGAUUGUAUCGCAAUCAGUUAAAACUUUCAACAAUGGAUCUCUUGGUUCCGGCAUCGAUGAAGAACGCAGCGAAAUGCGAUAAUUAAUGUGAAUUGCAGAAUUCAGUGAAUCAUCGAGUCUUUGAACGCACAUUGCACCCCCUGGUAUUCCGGGGGGUAUGCCUGUCCGAGCGUCAUUGCUGCCCUCAAGCACGGCUUGUGUGUUGGGUCGUCGUCCCCCCCGGGGACGGGCCCGAAAGGCAGCGGCGGCACCGCGUCCGGUCCUCGAGCGUAUGGGGCUUUGUCACCCGCUCUUGUAGGCCCGGCCGGCGCUGGCCGACGCUGAAAAGCAACCAACUAUUUCUCCAGGUUGACCUCGGAUCAGGUAGGGAUACCCGCUGAACCUAAGCAUAUCAAUAAAGCGGAGGA